CUACUAUGGAUGCUUGGUCACCCUUCAUAUGUUCAUCACAUAAAACUGAUAUCAGUUAAUGAAAGAAUGCUAUCAAAAAGGGUGGGCUUUGGGUUUAUGGGCCUCUACUCUACCACUCCUCAUCCAACUCCAACUCCACUUACAUCUAUCUCGAACUCGAACGGACCCAGGAAUCCUCGUUUAAAUAAGAAAUAGAGAAGGAGAUAGGUGAGAUUUUUUCUCGUUAGUUAAAUGGGUCUCGUAGACAUAUCUUGUCCAUACAUACAUCUCUGUGAGUUAGAAUUAGAAAUGUUCAUUUAACUCCAAAAUUGAAAUUUCACGUAAACCUAUCUCGAAUAGAGCAAGGAAUCUUCGUUUAAACAAGAAAUAGAGAAGUGGGGUAGGAGAGAUGGGCCUCAAGGAAUCUUCAUGGGCCUCGUGGACAUCUCUUGUCCGUACACACAUCCCCAUAGGUUAAAAGUAGAAAUGCACAUUUUAACUCAAAGUUGAAAUUUUACAUAAACCUAUCUUGAAUGGAGCAAGAAAUCUUCGUUUAAACAAGAAAUAGAGAAGGGGGUAUGAAAGAUUUUCCCCCAUUAGCUAAAUAGAUCUCGUGGGCAUCUCCUAUCCACACACACAUCCCUCUCGGUUAGAAGUAGAAAUGUCUAUUUAACCCCAAAGUUUGAAUUUCACGUAAACUUAUCUCAAACAGAGCAAGAAAACUUCGUUUAAACAAGAAUUAGAAAAGGGGUCGGAGAAAUUUUCCCGAUUAGCUAAAUGGGCACUAAACAUCUCUCAUCCAUACACACACU
Molecule: long non-coding RNA, 791 nt
Organism: Cucurbita maxima (winter squash)
Lineage: Eukaryota; Viridiplantae; Streptophyta; Magnoliopsida; Cucurbitales; Cucurbitaceae
Exons: 3
Source: RefSeq, a predicted model, not a curated record